UGCCAGCCGCCGCGGUAAUACGGAGGGUGCAAGCGUUGUUCGGAAUUACUGGGCGUAAAGCGCGUGUAGGCGGUCCGACAAGUCGGAUGUGAAAGCCCGAGGCUCAACCUCGGAACUGCAUUCGAAACUGUCGAACUAGAGUCCCGGAGAGGAUGGUGGAAUUCCCAGUGUAGAGGUGAAAUUCGUAGAUAUUGGGAGGAACACCGGUGGCGAAGGCGGCCAUCUGGACGGUGACUGACGCUGAGACGCGAAAGUGUGGGGAGCAAACAGGAUUAGAUA
Molecule: ribosomal RNA, 279 nt
Filed under: uncultured bacterium
Lineage: Bacteria
Description: partial 16S ribosomal RNA
Rfam family: Bacterial small subunit ribosomal RNA
Source: RNAcentral